GCAGAAUAUUGUGCAACAUGGUUAUGGGUACUACAGUGGAUGUGAGUGUGUAGACCUUGUACAAUAGAGCUUAUAGGCUAAUGAGAAGACAGGAAGAAACAACAGGAACACAUAUAGCUGGAAUGCAGAUGGGAUCUGUGCUACUUACGCUAGCCAUGGGAUGAUUAGAACAAGAUAAGAGACAUGAGGAAGACUUCUUCAAGGAGGUGCUCAAGCCAUGUUUUGGAAAAGAGAACUCAAGGUCUGGCAGGGAGAAAGGAGCAAGACUGCCUGGCAGCUCUUUAGAAAGUUGUGUGACGUAUGAACCAGUUCUUCCCUAUAUGAGAGUGUACCGUACAUCGCAGGCUGUCCAGCAUCGACCCCACUGAUGGAUGCUAGUAGUCCUCCCCGCCAGCACUCAACAUUGUGACAGUCAAAAACAUCCUCUCUACAUUUUCAAUGCCCCUGUUGGGGUAGCAGGACUCCCACUGAGAGACCCCAGUAGAGAUGGUCCCCAAGCAUGCUAACCAUGAAGCAGUGAUAUCGCACAGCACCUGCUUCCAGCAGCCCGGAGCCAAGGGGCAAAAUGGAAAGAGUCAGCAUUUCUCUUUUAGGUCCUCUUCUCCCUGAAGGCUGUCACAGUUCCUGUGCAGAGAGAGAGGGCACUGCAGCACCCAGGCGCUGACUGCCUUUUGUCAGUCUCAUUUGCAGGCCCCCAGCUGGAGAACCCAGGAGGAAGAGGAAAAAAGUUUUUUCCUCCUCUACACUCCCCAUGCAUGACUAAAGAGUAGGAGGAGUCAGCAAGGCAGACAUAUAUAGUACCCAGGAGGUGGACAAACAACUGCCUUGGUGGAAACUCUGUCCUUUCUGGACUUAUCCUGGUGCCACUGAGACUGUGCAGGUCCCACACUUACAGGGAAAGCAUCACCCGAAAGUGAGAAUGCCUAGAGGCAGGAAUCAUGGAGGCUUCCUUAACCGUCUGUCUGCAACAGCAGGUGCUAGAGAUGACACUGCAGAGUAGAGAACAAAGGAAUCUUAGUAAUUGUUCAAUCCAAUCUCCACACUUUAAAGAUGAAGAAACUGGUAUUGAGAAAAAUACACAGCUUAUCCAAGGUUGCACUGCUGGUUGGUAGCUGAGAUGAAUUUAGAACCCACAUCUGAUGACUACACCAUAUUGCUCCCAGUUUUCCUGUCUGUUCCACAUGUAAAAGUCUGACUCUUCACUUCUCCUUUGAGUAUAUAGACUUUUAACAUUUUUGUAUGUCAAGAUGGACUUUUCCUCAUACCCAGCCCCUGCCUUUUCUCCUCCCUUCAUACCUUGCAGGAUCUUUAACAGAAUUUAAAAGGAGUUUUUUGUUUUGUUUUGAUGUAUCUAAUAAAAGUCAAGGGAGGGAGAGGGCCAGUAUAAGCAAGAGUACAGUUUCCUAGUUUGUAGAUGCGGUAGUCUGAGGAAUCAGAAACACACAAAGGUUUGGAGAACUGGUACAUGCUCCCAGGUGGGAAGCCAGGACUCUUGGUAGGAUCUUGAGGACAAGGCAAAGGACAAUAAGAGAGCGAGGGGAUCCUAGAGGUGGAAUCAAGGAAGAGAAACUAGAGAGAGAAAAAGGAACUGGCUAUCCAUCCAUGAUGGAUCCUGUGUGGACUGAUGGGUGGCUUGGCAUCAUCCUUUAGUAGACUUCAUGUGGUUGAAUAAUUGGCCAAUGGAAGGAAUUUCUUUUUUGGUAACAGACUCUGUGUGUACAGUUAUGGGUCUUAAUUUAUAAUAAAAGGUUACAUUGAAAAUUGAGCAUAUUGGCAACUUUGGGCUUUAAUAUUACUACUGUGCUAUUUAGGUCCCAACCAUCCUAGCUAAUCUGGGCAUUCUUGAAACAGCUCUCAUUAUUGGUAUGUCAAACCGUCUCAUAGGGCAUGUACUUAACAAAAGUGGAGUGAAGGGUUCAGGAUGCAUAAAUGGGGUGAAGCUCGUGGUAUUCCAUUCCUUUUUACUGAAGCCACUCCUACCAGCUGCCUUCUAGAUUGUUCACCUUAUAUGAGCAUGGUGCAGUAUAGAAGUUGUAGACUUUGGCCUCAGACAGAUCUAAAUUCUAAUCUCAGAUCACUACUUCCUGGUUGAGGACAAGAUUUCUUUAACCACCCCAAGUCCCAAUUUUCUCAUGUCUAAAAUGGCAGAAAUAAUGUGUACUUUGCAGGGUUGUUGUGAGAGUUAAGUAAUAUGGGUAAUGCACUUGGGACAGUGCUUCACACAAAAUUGUCAGUAAAUGGUGAUCUUUCUUUUCCUGGCACUACAAAGCUGAGGAGAGGAGGGAGGGAGGGAGAUGAAUGUCUGGAGGAAGAAAGGGCAGGAGUUUCUUCAUCUUUGAGUGAAGGAGCAUUGAGGGUUAGCAGGGAUAUAGGAAUAGUGAGUUGGCUGGGAAGAAAAAAAGGAUUAAAAGAGGAAAAGAAUAGGAAAAAAGAAGGAUACCAUGGAGAAAAUGGGCAACGGCCCCAGAAAGAAGAGCAAGAAUGGCAGUGAUGGUGAGCAUUGCUGGAAUGAUGGAAGGUUCUCCGGCCCCGGUGAUGCGUGGGCACCACCGGAGAGCUUGUUAGAAAUGCAGAGUCUCUGUCCCUCCCCAGACCCUCUGAAUCAUAAUUUGCAAUUUAAUGAGAGGUCCCCAGGUGAUUCCCAUAUCCAUUAAUUCUGCAGAGUUGAUGUUUUC
Molecule: long non-coding RNA, 2675 nt
Filed under: Homo sapiens (human)
Lineage: Eukaryota; Metazoa; Chordata; Mammalia; Primates; Hominidae
Description: HSALNT0336013
Source: RNAcentral